RNAcentral lists this unclassified non-coding RNA (330 nucleotides) under soil metagenome. RNAcentral's name for it is "partial contains 5.8S ribosomal RNA, internal transcribed spacer 2, and large subunit ribosomal RNA". The stretch from base 1 to 120 matches the Rfam family "5.8S ribosomal RNA", at positions 35 to 154 of the family's 154-position model. The record is from RNAcentral.
GAUGAAGAACGUAGCGAAAAGCGAUAAGUAAUGUGAAUUGCAGAAUUCAGUGAAUCAUCGAAUCUUUGAACGCACAUUGCGCCCUCUGGUAUUCCGGGGGGCAUGCCUGUUCGAGCGUCAUUACAACCCUCAAGCUUUGCUUGGUAUUGGACAUUGCCAGUUUCUGGCAGGUCUUAAAAUCAGUGGCGGUGCCAUUUGGCUUCAAGCGUAGUAAUUCUUCUCGCUUUGGAGAUCCAAGUGGUUACUUGCCAAUAACCCCCAAUUUUUUCAGGUUGACCUCGGAUCAGGUAGGGAUACCCGCUGAACUUAAGCAUAUCAAUAAGCGGAGGA